CACUCUUCUCGGCAAAGAUACAAUCUUCCUCUUCAUCAAUGGUACAGGACAACCACAGGCAAUGACAGAGCAAGUGCUCAGGGGCCCAGCUCAAAGCUGGCAACACACAAGGCACCUCAUGACUCCUGGAAUGAUCUCUGGGGCAGACAUCAGUCCAUCCUGGCCUUUCAGGCCCUGAAUGCCUGGAGGAGAGAAGACACACAUUCAUUUUAAGUAAUGUUUCCCGAAAGCCUGCAGUUUCAUAAGUACUGGACUAGGAGGGCCAACAGUAAUGAUAAGGCCACCCUGAGCCCUCACGUGUGGUCAUGGUCACAGGUGAGACACAGACAAGCCAGUGACCGCCUGCAGGAGCAGCUGACUACGCUGGGGAAUCAGGGAAGGAUCCCCCGGGAUGUUUGACCAAAAAACCUGAAGACUGCAGGUCACAGGGCCAAUGGACAGCAGAACCUUGACACCAGAGGCAAGAACACAAGAAGGGUGUGGUAUAAAGAAAUGAGUAAGGCAAGGGUUCUUAAUCGGGGUCCACUGACCUACUAAACACCUAGGAACUCUUAGAAAUCAACUGCACAAUUUUGCAAGUGUUAGGUUACACACGGUCUUCUCCUGCCUGGCACAUCCCUUCCUUCCUUUCCUGAUAACAGCACCCACCCCUUUGAAGGGCAGUCCUUCAGGGUUCCAAUGGGCUUCUAAGUCAGAGAACCCCUACUGAUUAGACAGGCGACAAAGGCCUGGCCAAUCAUGGUAUCCGACUCCUCCUGCAACCUUUGAUUGGUGCAAGAAGUGGACACGUGACCUGUGGAGAUCCAAUCACGGCCUUUGUCUGGAAUUUACACUAGGUUGCCAGGAGACACAAGCCCUCUUAAUCUAUUGUGGUCACACAAGGAUGACUUAAGCCUGGGGCUGCCUGUUGUAGCUCUUGAACAUGAUGGUCUUUCUUAGAAAUCCAUCCUAGAGAAGAGCCUGCACGGGGACAAUGAAGUCACUGACCAACUGCAAAGGAGGAAAGUGGAAGAGAGAGGAAGAAGUUUGGCUUGUUCCCUCCACCCCUCACUUCUCAGGGCCCGGCGGCAGGCAGCUGGCAGCGACCUGCACAGGUGAGUCCUCCCGAAAUACAGGAAGAGCACGGGAUUGAGACAGCUGUGAGCCAGAGCGAGGCCGAUGACCAGGGGUUCAGCCCGCAGGGCCCGGGCCAGGAGCCUGGAGUGCGGGGCGGCCACGGUGAUCACCAGCCCCAGCAGUUGGUAGGGGGCCCAGCAGACAAAAAAGCCCAGCACGACGGCCACGCCCAGGGGCCAGCGGUGCGGGGCGGCCCGGCACAGCAGGGCACCGUGGCAGCUGGCCACGACCACCAGCGGCCCCAGGAAGCCGCACACAAAGCGGGCGGCCGCCACGGCGCUCUCAACCACGGCCGAGCCCCCGUAGUCCACCACGCACUCCAGCCGGGGGGGGAAGUGCUCCUGGUGCAGCCGGUGGUACAUGGCCGAGGGUACAGUGAGCAGCAAGGCCACGGCCCAGGCCACCGCGCAGGCGACCUGCACCCUGCGUGCCCGGCCCCCCGCAGCCCCCCAGCCCGGCCUGAGCGCCAGCAGGCAGAGGUCGGCGCUGAGAGCGGCCAGGAGGAGCACGCUGGCGUACAUGGACAGCAGGAUGAGCGAGGACAGGGUGUGACAGCCCAGUGCCCCGUACGGCCAGUGGCCCCCGCGCGCCAUGGGCACCGCCAGCACCGGCAGAGACAAACAGCACAGCAGAUCCGCCACGGCCAGGUGGAGGAACCAGGUGGCACCCACCCUCCGGCGGGCCUCUUUCCAGGUCACCCAGGCCAUCGUGGCAUUGCCGGGCACGCCCACCAGGAAGACCACAGCAUACAGCAGGAACGGGGCGACGCUCAGCGGGUCCGUGGAGACGCAGGAGCCGUCCACGCAGUCCACGGGGAGAUCCGGGAUCUCGUCGUAGUGCCCAUAAUCGUAGCUGACAGACGUGUUCUCCAUCCAGGCCCCAGGCUCCUGAACAGGAGAGAAAGCAGUGGAAGCUGGUCGAGGAAGCCCUCAGGCCCCUGCAAUCCUCAGGGGGUGGGGACCCCACCGGCGGCUUGGAAACGACUGUGACGGUGUCAGAGCUCCGGUGCAUUCUAAUACUGGAAUUCUAGAAGCCCCCAACCUUAGAACUAGCUCGGUAGCAUCUUGGGAUUAGCCAAUAACACAAUGUUGGAACCCGAGCAGGCUACUAUACUGGAAUUCUAGGAUGCCGGGGGUUAGCACACUAGCCCUAGGUGAGCAUCCAGGAAUUCUAGAAUAUGACAGUGUUAGAACUCAAGCUUACUAGCAUCUUGGGAUUCUGGAACAUUACAAUGUUAGACUGUGAUCGUGAUUUAAAAAAAAAAAAUUUUUUUUUUUUUUUUUGGAAACUCCAAAUGGCAUACCAUUAGAACUGCAGCCAAUUAUUUAUUUAUUUUUAAAGAUUUUAUUUAUUUAUUCAUGAGAGACACAGAGAGAGAGAGAGGCAGAGACACAGGCAGAGGGAGAAGCAGGCUCCAUUUAGGGAGCCCGAAGUGGGACUCCAUCCUGGGACUCCAGGAUCACGCCCUGGGCCAAAGGCAGGCACUAAACCGCUGAGCCACCCAGGGAUCCCCCAACUGCAGCCAAUUAUUAUUUGGAAUUCUAGAGCAGCUCUGUGGGAUCCAAUAUUCAGUGUUGAUGGAAACAUUCUUUUCAAAAAAAAAAAAAAAGAUUAUUUAUUUAUUUAUUUAUUUAUGAGAGAGAGAGUGCGCACAAGCAGAGGAAAGCUGCAGAAGGAGAGGGAGAAGCAGGCUCCCCACUAAGCAGGGAGCCCGAGGCAAGGCUCGAUUCCAGGACCCUGAGAUCAUGACCUGAGCCAAAGGCAAAUACCCAACCAACUGAGCCACCCAGGUACCCCUGGUGGGAAUGUUCUAGAUCUGAGCCAUCCAAUCUGUAACUACCUGCAGGCCAAAAGGUGCUACUGAGCAUUUGAAAUGGGACUAAAUUUUUAGACUAAUUUUUGAGACUAAAAAUCUUCUGAUUUUACUUAAAUAUAAAUAGCUACACAUGGCUAAUGGCUACCUCAUUGGACAGGGAGAUUCUAGAGCACUUAAAUGUAACACUAGCCUGUUAGCAACGUGGAAUUCUAGAAUUUAAAACAUUGGAAUCCAAAUAUCCAUUAAGAGGGGGAAAGGUUAAUACGCAUUCACAGCAAAAGUACUUGUCUUGGUUCUUCUUCACUGGUAUUUUUGUAUCUCGGUAGAAUGAAAAUGUACCUCGGGAGAAAUUGUGUUAUUUUGUUUUUUGCAUAAACUAGAGCACACACACAGACAGCAAGGUACCGCACAUCACGUAGGUCCAGCUCACUGGGUUUCACAACCUGAACGCAGCCGUUUAAGAGGCACCCAGAUCGAGAGACAGAACAUACCUAGAAUCCUACUAGAGCAAUUUUUUAAAGUCUUGAUGGUGUUUGGAAAACAGGAAAAAUAAAAUGUUGAAUUCCCCGGUCAGGAGAUCCAUUCAUUCAUUCAAGAAAAGUCCUGAGUCCCUUUUCUCUUCCAGGCACUGCAUGCCUAGUGGGGGACGUGACAAACCAAAACCUCUUUUGUCUCAGAGCUGACACUCUAGCGGGAGGAGUCAGAUAAGGAAAAAGACAAAUUAGAAAUAAAUAAGCAAAAUACAGUGUCUUAGAAGGUGAAAAAUGCUACAGAAAAAAAAAAAAAGGAUCACACAG
Long non-coding RNA from Canis lupus familiaris (dog), 3729 nucleotides. RefSeq lists it as uncharacterized. The transcript is spliced from 2 exons. Lineage: Eukaryota; Metazoa; Chordata; Mammalia; Carnivora; Canidae. The record is from RefSeq and is a predicted model, not a curated record.